GACGAACGCUGGCGGCGUGCUUAACACAUGCAAGUCGAACGAAGAGCGAUGGAAUCUUGCUUCUAUCAAUCUUAGUGGCGAACGGGUGAGUAACGCGUAAUCAACCUGCCCUUCAGUGGGGGACAACAGUUGGAAACGACUGCUAAUACCGCAUACGAUCUAAUCUCGGCAUCGAGGAUAGAUGAAAGGUGGCCUCUGCAUGUAUGCUAUCACUGAAGGAGGGGAUUGCGUCUGCUUUGCUAGUUGGAGGGGUAACGGCCCACCAAGGCGAUGAUCAGUAGCCGGUCUGGGAGGAUGAACGGCCACAUUGGGACUGGGACACGGCCCAGACUCCUACGGGAGGCAGCAGUGGGGAAUCUUCCGCAAUGGAGGAAAGUCUGACGAAGCAACGCCGCGUGAGUGAUGACGGCCUUCGGGUUGUAAAGCUCUGUUAAUCGGGACGAAAGGCCUUCUUGCGAAUAGUGAGAAGGAUUGACGGUACCGGAAUAGAAAGCCACGGCUAACUACGUG
RNAcentral lists this ribosomal RNA (510 nucleotides) under uncultured bacterium. RNAcentral describes it as "partial 16S ribosomal RNA". It matches the Rfam family "Bacterial small subunit ribosomal RNA", at positions 28 to 507 of the family's 1533-position model. The record is from RNAcentral.